RNAcentral lists this ribosomal RNA (247 nucleotides) under uncultured bacterium. RNAcentral describes it as "partial 16S ribosomal RNA". It matches the Rfam family "Bacterial small subunit ribosomal RNA", at positions 15 to 248 of the family's 1533-position model. The record is from RNAcentral.
GAUCCUGGCUCAGGAUGAACGCUAGCUACAGGCUUAACACAUGCAAGUCGCGGGGCAGCAUGAAGUCGGCUUGCUGACUUUGAUGGCGACCGGCGCACGGGUGAGUAACGCGUAUCCAACCUGCCUGUUACCACGGCACAGCCCGUCGAAAGGCGGAUUAAUGCCGUAUGUGGUCCUUUGUCGGGCAUCUAAUUAGGACUAAAGGUUACGGUCGGUAACGGGAGUGGGAGUGCGUCCGAUUAGCUAG